Molecule: ribosomal RNA, 253 nt
Filed under: uncultured bacterium
Lineage: Bacteria
Description: partial 16S ribosomal RNA
Rfam family: Bacterial small subunit ribosomal RNA
Source: RNAcentral
UACGGAGGGGGCAAGCGUUGUUCGGAAUUACUGGGCGUAAAGGGCGCGUAGGCGGCCUGUUAAGUCGAACGUGAAAUCCCCGGGCUCAACCCGGGAACUGCGUCCGAUACUGGCAGGCUUGAAUUCGGGAGAGGGAUGUGGAAUUCCAGGUGUAGCGGUGAAAUGCGUAGAUAUCUGGAGGAACACCGGUGGCGAAGGCGGCAUCCUGGACCGAUAUUGACGCUGAUGCGCGAAAGCCAGGGGAGCAAACGGG